UUCAACAAUAUGGCUCAACCACCGAAUCUCACGGCCCGAGAAGUGCAGCAGGUAUUUGCAGAGAUUCUCAGCCAUGGCGAGGACAUCGCCUGGGAUCUGUGAGUGCCCGCCCAAAAAUCCUUUGUCCCUCACUUGAAAUCUAUAGAUGGCCAAUCCCUGACCUGACUGAUUGCUGCAGAAUCAACGAGACAUUCUGAAAAGGAAAGUUCGAUAAAUAUUUAAUCAGAGACAUAAAUAAUUCUGGACAACGUUUUGACUCUACGUAAAUGCGCCAACGGCCAGUCCCUUUCUGCGUUGUUCUUUGCGGUUAUUGUGAAUGGAGUGACCGACUUGAAGGAGGCAGAGAAUAGCAGAUCCUGGUCGAUCCACCCAGUUUUCCGCUGCCGUCGCUGCGAUGCCGACACGGAUGGAGGGAUGAGCAGCAGCCCAGACUGUUGCGGUAUGUAUGUGGAUCAAAUCGGGCUCUUUGAGGACUGCGAUGCAUACUUAAAGCGCACAGCUCUUCCCCCAGGGGUUAUGGUAACCUGUGAUCGAGGCGUCUACAAGCUGAUCGAUGGGCAGGUUGAGCUUAAAACUUAUUUGAUAACGGAGAAAAUGUACACACGCAAUGCGUGCUUCAUAACGUCUGAAGGUCUGAAGGCAGCCUUGGAAUUUCCUGGAGUGCAUCGGCUUUACUCGGAAUCAAGCUCUAGAUAUAUAUUGCAAGUAACAUAG
Molecule: long non-coding RNA, 714 nt
Organism: Drosophila guanche
Lineage: Eukaryota; Metazoa; Arthropoda; Insecta; Diptera; Drosophilidae
Exons: 3
Source: RefSeq, a predicted model, not a curated record